RNAcentral lists this transfer RNA (72 nucleotides) under Ictidomys tridecemlineatus (thirteen-lined ground squirrel). RNAcentral describes it as "Spermophilus tridecemlineatus (thirteen-lined ground squirrel) tRNA". It matches the Rfam family "tRNA". From Rfam's summary of the family: Transfer RNA (tRNA) molecules are approximately 80 nucleotides in length. Their secondary structure includes four short double-helical elements and three loops (D, anti-codon, and T loops). Further hydrogen bonds mediate the characteristic L-shaped molecular structure. tRNAs have two regions of fundamental functional importance: the anti-codon, which is responsible for specific mRNA codon recognition, and the 3' end, to which the tRNAs corresponding amino acid is attached (by aminoacyl-tRNA synthetases). tRNAs cope with the degeneracy of the genetic code in two manners: having more than one tRNA (with a specific anti-codon) for a particular amino acid; and 'wobble' base-pairing, i.e. permitting non-standard base-pairing at the 3rd anti-codon position. The record is from Rfam by way of RNAcentral. Lineage: Eukaryota; Metazoa; Chordata; Mammalia; Rodentia; Sciuridae.
AGAGGUGUAGCUCAGUGAUAGAGCACUUGCCUAGCAUUCAUGAGAUCCUGGGUUCCACCCCUAGUACCACAA